This 405-nucleotide ribosomal RNA is filed under the name uncultured Anaplasma sp. Its description in RNAcentral is "bacterial SSU rRNA". It matches the Rfam family "Bacterial small subunit ribosomal RNA", at positions 67 to 504 of the family's 1533-position model. Lineage: Bacteria; Pseudomonadati; Pseudomonadota; Alphaproteobacteria; Rickettsiales; Anaplasmataceae. The record is from RNAcentral.
UUGUUCUCAUAGCUUGCUAUGGGAGCAAUUAGUGGCAGACGGGUGAGUAACGCAUAGGAAUCUACCUAGUAGUAUAGGAUAGCCACUAGAAGUGGUGGGUAAUACUGUAUAAGCCCUGCGGGGGAAAGAUUUAUCGCUAUUUGAUGAGCCUAUGUUAGAUUAGCUAGUUGGUGGGGUAAAGGCCCACCAAGGCGGUGAUCUAUAGCUGGUCUGAGAGGAUGAUCAGCCACACUGGAACUGAGACACGGUCCAGACUCCUACGGGAGGCAGCAGUGGGGAAUAUUGGACAAUGGGCGCAAGCCUGAUCCAGCUAUGCCGCGUGAGUGAGGAAGGCCUUAGGGUUGUAAAACUCUUUCAGUGGGGAAGAUAAUGACGGUACCCACAGAAAAAGUCCCGGCAAACUCG